RNAcentral lists this unclassified non-coding RNA (217 nucleotides) under Hevea brasiliensis (rubber tree). Lineage: Eukaryota; Viridiplantae; Streptophyta; Magnoliopsida; Malpighiales; Euphorbiaceae. The record is from RNAcentral.
AAAAUAUGCAUUUUCCCAUGAAAAUUUAAUCAAUCUUGUUAGUUAUAACUUAAAAACACUAUUGCUAUAUCACUGUUUGAGGGAAUUACGCUCCACUCAACUCUAUUUAUGCAAUUCGAAAUAAUAGAUGAAAGACUAAUUAAUAAACUAUUUUGCGUCAUUGCUAGUUAUUUUGUACUCCCAAACAUUUAUUAAAUGUAUUUAGCAAUUUAAUAAU